Amphiprion ocellaris (clown anemonefish) is the source of this 1676-nucleotide long non-coding RNA. NCBI's taxonomy places the organism in Eukaryota, Metazoa, Chordata, Actinopteri, Pomacentridae. The record is from Ensembl.
GCUCUGCUGACCCACCUGCUCUGUCCUCCCCUCUCCUGCACUCUGGAUCCAGCCCUGACCAGACCUCCCCCCUGCCUCCCUCACCUUGGACCUCCUGCCUGCUCCUGGUGGAGGGUCUCUGCCUGCCGUGUGCCCCCUUUGGCUCCGGAAAACACCCCGCCUGUCGCCCCCCGAUGGAACGAGGCCCUCCUGCCCGCUCUCCACUGCCGAUCCACCCCACGGAGGACGCCAACCGGGCCGCCGGUUCCUGAUGAAACAGGAAGUACCGUCCAACUUGGUUGAUGAGUUACCAUCUCCCCGAUGAGCCCUGGAGUAUCUGAAACGUCUCAGCAGGAGCCCAGUGCCGUCCUGGCAGCAGCAGAAACUCUCUCUCUCUCUCUCUCUCUCUCAGGUUGGACAGCUUGUUCAAGUCGAAUGCUAUUAGUUGUGGGUCAGCGCCUGGGCUUUCUCUACACCCCAACAACACCUUUUCACCAGCCAGGGAUUCCAGCCACCAUUAAUCAGAGUGGUGACAGCCCAUGGAUCUGACGGGGGGAUGAGAGCUGGCCACCGUCGAGGCUGCUGUGAGCGUUCAGAGGGUGACGUGUCGGCAGAGGGCCAGUUGGAGAGGAGGGUGGCCGUCUCAGAUACCUGCUGGUGUCCAGAGACAGCUGUAACGUAGCCACCCGUGGUCCAGCAAUCAGGUUGGUGGCCGCUGAAUGCUGAUAAAGCCGCUUUUCUCGGCCUGGCAGACGGAGCUGAGGCAUUUCUCAAGAAGAUAAAGUCAGACCGGAGCCAGAGGAGUAAACAGGGAGCGGGAGGAGACACGACAAAGAGAAGCGAGAGGCCGAGAUGAGGAGAUAAACCGAGACAGAGAACAAAUGGUGACCUUUGCAGAGAUGGAUUUGUUUACCAACAAAUGUUCUGGCUGUCAACACCUGCUCCAGAGUGACCUUCACAUGGAGACGGAGCCGACGUCUCUCAUCUGUUCAUCUCUGCAGCCUCUCAUCAAGUCUGAUCAGCUCAGCCUGUUUCUGAGCUCCUUUAUUCUGCUGCAUUCAGUCAGGUUCCAGCUGUCAGCAUGGAGGCCCAAACCUGUAGAAAGAUCGAAGAAUACGUUAGGAGUUAAUCCUUGUGUCGUCCUGCAGGUCAAAUUGACCCGUUUUAAAGUUUGAAAAUGUGGAAAAAAAAAAUCUAUUUUCACAGUGAAACUUCUGAUGUCCACAUUUUCAACAUUUUUGGGAAAUCUUUGAAUAUUUUUUGGUGGAAAAAAUAAAUGUUAAACAUGUUUAAGAACAAUCACAAAACAGCAAAUGAUUAAAAUCAUGUUAAAACCAGAACCACCUAAUGCAUUAUUAAAUACAUUUUUAAUUUUAAAGAAUUCUAUUGUUUUUUAAACAUAUUUUUUGCUUCUCAUAGUGUUCUUUUAUGGGAUUUUAUUUUAUUUGUUUUAACCGUGUGGUAUGUGUUCUGUUAGAGCAAAUGUUUGGAUUUUGCCGCACAUAAAAACUUGUCAUCUGUCUUCCCUCAGGAUUAAUAAAGCAUCUAUCUAUCUAUCUGUCUAUCUGUCUGUCUGUCUGUCUGUCCAUCCGUCUAUCUAAAAUUGUCUUGCUUUGCCUGCUGGAGAAUUAAAAGUUCUCUCUACAGUCAUAGCUGACAGUUUUCACAUUAAGGUGAUGCAACCGUCCUGCAGUCAG